This 919-nucleotide ribosomal RNA is filed under the name uncultured bacterium. RNAcentral describes it as "bacterial SSU rRNA". It matches the Rfam family "Bacterial small subunit ribosomal RNA", at positions 57 to 949 of the family's 1533-position model. The record is from RNAcentral.
CCCAAUUGAUUGAUGGUGCUUGCACCUGAUUGACUUUGGUUGCCAACGAGUGGCGGACGGGUGAGUAACACGUAGGUAACCUGCCCAGAAGCGGGGGACAACAUUUGGAAACAGAUGCUAAUACCGCAUAACAGCGUUGUUCGCAUGAACAACGCUUAAAAGAUGGCUUCUCGCUAUCACUUCUGGAUGGACCUGCGGUGCAUUAGCUUGUUGGUGGGGUAACGGCCUACCAAGGCGAUGAUGCAUAGCCGAGUUGAGAGACUGAUCGGCCACAAUGGGACUGAGACACGGCCCAUACUCCUACGGGAGGCAGCAGUAGGGAAUCUUCCACAAUGGGCGCAAGCCUGAUGGAGCAACACCGCGUGAGUGAAGAAGGGUUUCGGCUCGUAAAGCUCUGUUGUUAAAGAAGAACACGUAUGAGAGUAACUGUUCAUACGUUGACGGUAUUUAACCAGAAAGUCACGGCUAACUACGUGCCAGCAGCCGCGGUAAUACGUAGGUGGCAAGCGUUAUCCGGAUUUAUUGGGCGUAAAGAGAGUGCAGGCGGUUUUCUAAGUCUGAUGUGAAAGCCUUCGGCUUAACCGGAGAAGUGCAUCGGAAACUGGAUAACUUGAGUGCAGAAGAGGGUAGUGGAACUCCAUGUGUAGCGGUGGAAUGCGUAGAUAUAUGGAAGAACACCAGUGGCGAAGGCGGCUACCUGGUCUGCAACUGACGCUGAGACUCGAAAGCAUGGGUAGCGAACAGGAUUAGAUACCCUGGUAGUCCAUGCCGUANACGAUGAGUGCUAGGUGUUGGAGGGUUUCCGCCCUUCAGUGCCGGAGCUAACGCAUUAAGCACUCCGCCUGGGGAGUACGACCGCAAGGUUGAAACUCAAAGGAAUUGACGGGGGCCCGCACAAGCGGUGGAGCAUGUGGUUUAA